RNAcentral lists this ribosomal RNA (492 nucleotides) under uncultured bacterium. RNAcentral's name for it is "partial 16S ribosomal RNA". It matches the Rfam family "Bacterial small subunit ribosomal RNA", at positions 29 to 507 of the family's 1533-position model. The record is from RNAcentral.
AGUGAACGCUGGCGGUAGGCCUAACACAUGCAAGUCGAACGGCAGCACAGUAAGAGCUUGCUCUUACGGGUGGCGAGUGGCGGACGGGUGAGGAAUACAUCGGAAUCUAUUUUUUCGUGGGGGAUAACGUAGGGAAACUUACGCUAAUACCGCAUACGACCUACGGGUGAAAGCAGGGGAUCUUCGGACCUUGCGCGAUUGAAUGAGCCGAUGUUGGAUUAGCUAGUUGGCGGGGUAAAGGCCCACCAAGGCGACGAUCCGUAGCUGGUCUGAGAGGAUGAUCAGCCACACUGGAACUGAGACACGGUCCAGACUCCUACGGGAGGCAGCAGUGGGGAAUAUUGGACAAUGGGCGCAAGCCUGAUCCAGCCAUACCGCGUGGGUGAAGAAGGCCUUCGGGUUGUAAAGCCCUUUUGUUGGGAAAGAAAAGCAGCAGGUUAAUACCCCGCUGUUCUGACGGUACCCAAAGAAUAAGCACCGGCUAACUUCGUG